GCAUCGAUAGCUCAGUGGCAGAGCGGUGGGGCGUUUACCCAUGCGGCCCGGGUUCGAUUCCCGGUCGAUGUU
This is a non-coding RNA of Phthorimaea operculella (potato tuberworm), 72 nucleotides long. The record is from the annotation of a GenBank genome assembly. NCBI's taxonomy places the organism in Eukaryota, Metazoa, Arthropoda, Insecta, Lepidoptera, Gelechiidae.